CCUGAGAGAUGAUCAGGUAGAUAGGUUGGAAGUGGAAGGCUAGUGAUAGUUGGAGCGGACCAAUACUAAUCGGUCGAGGACUUAACCAAA
This 90-nucleotide ribosomal RNA is filed under the name Enterococcus faecalis. RNAcentral's name for it is "partial 23S ribosomal RNA". It matches the Rfam family "Bacterial large subunit ribosomal RNA", at positions 2836 to 2925 of the family's 2925-position model. Lineage: Bacteria; Bacillati; Bacillota; Bacilli; Lactobacillales; Enterococcaceae. The record is from RNAcentral.